GGUUAAGCGACUAAGCGUACACGGUGGAUGCCCUGGCAGUCAGAGGCGAUGAAGGACGUGCUAAUCUGCGAUAAGCGUCGGUAAGGUGAUAUGAACCGUUAUAACCGGCGAUUUCCGAAUGGGGAAACCCAGUGUGAUUCGUCACACUAUCAUUAACUGAAUCCAUAGGUUAAUGAGGCGAACCGGGGGAACUGAAACAUCUAAGUACCCCGAGGAAAAGAAAUCAACCGAGAUUCCCCCAGUAGCGGCGAGCGAACGGGGAGCAGCCCAGAGCCUGAAUCAGUGUGUGUGUUAGUGGAAGCGUCUGGAAAGGCGCGCGAUACAGGGUGACAGCCCCGUACACAAAAAUGCACAUGCUGUGAGCUCGAUGAGUAGGGCGGGACACGUGGUAUCCUGUCUGAAUAUGGGGGGACCAUCCUCCAAGGCUAAAUACUCCUGACUGACCGAUAGUGAACCAGUACCGUGAGGGAAAGGCGAAAAGAACCCCGGCGAGGGGAGUGAAAAAGAACCUGAAACCGUGUACGUACAAGCAGUGGGAGCACGCUUAGGCGUGUGACUGCGUACCUUUUGUAUAAUGGGUCAGCGACUUAUAUUCUGUAGCAAGGUUAACCGAAUAGGGGAGCCGAAGGGAAACCGAGUCUUAACUGGGCGUUAAGUUGCAGGGUAUAGACCCGAAACCCGGUGAUCUAGCCAUGGGCAGGUUGAAGGUUGGGUAACACUAACUGGAGGACCGAACCGACUAAUGUUGAAAAAUUAGCGGAUGACUUGUGGCUGGGGGUGAAAGGCCAAUCAAACCGGGAGAUAGCUGGUUCUCCCCGAAAGCUAUUUAGGUAGCGCCUCGUGAAUUCAUCUCCGGGGGUAGAGCACUGUUUCGGCAAGGGGGUCAUCCCGACUUACCAACCCGAUGCAAACUGCGAAUACCGGAGAAUGUUAUCACGGGAGACACACGGCGGGUGCUAACGUCCGUCGUGAAGAGGGAAACAACCCAGACCGCCAGCUAAGGUCCCAAAGUCAUGGUUAAGUGGGAAACGAUGUGGGAAGGCCCAGACAGCCAGGAUGUUGGCUUAGAAGCAGCCAUCAUUUAAAGAAAGCGUAAUAGCUCACUGGUCGAGUCGGCCUGCGCGGAAGAUGUAACGGGGCUAAACCAUGCACCGAAGCUGCGGCAGCGACACUGUGUGUUGUUGGGUAGGGGAGCGUUCUGUAAGCCUGCGAAGGUGUGCUGUGAGGCAUGCUGGAGGUAUCAGAAGUGCGAAUGCUGACAUAAGUAACGAUAAAGCGGGUGAAAAGCCCGCUCGCCGGAAGACCAAGGGUUCCUGUCCAACGUUAAUCGGGGCAGGGUGAGUCGACCCCUAAGGCGAGGCCGAAAGGCGUAGUCGAUGGGAAACAGGUUAAUAUUCCUGUACUUGGUGUUACUGCGAAGGGGGGACGGAGAAGGCUAUGUUGGCCGGGCGACGGUUGUCCCGGUUUAAGCGUGUAGGCUGGUUUUCCAGGCAAAUCCGGAAAAUCAAGGCUGAGGCGUGAUGACGAGGCACUACGGUGCUGAAGCAACAAAUGCCCUGCUUCCAGGAAAAGCCUCUAAGCAUCAGGUAACAUCAAAUCGUACCCCAAACCGACACAGGUGGUCAGGUAGAGAAUACCAAGGCGCUUGAGAGAACUCGGGUGAAGGAACUAGGCAAAAUGGUGCCGUAACUUCGGGAGAAGGCACGCUGAUAUGUAGGUGAAGUCCCUCGCGGAUGGAGCUGAAAUCAGUCGAAGAUACCAGCUGGCUGCAACUGUUUAUUAAAAACACAGCACUGUGCAAACACGAAAGUGGACGUAUACGGUGUGACGCCUGCCCGGUGCCGGAAGGUUAAUUGAUGGGGUCAGCGCAAGCGAAGCUCUUGAUCGAAGCCCCGGUAAACGGCGGCCGUAACUAUAACGGUCCUAAGGUAGCGAAAUUCCUUGUCGGGUAAGUUCCGACCUGCACGAAUGGCGUAAUGAUGGCCAGGCUGUCUCCACCCGAGACUCAGUGAAAUUGAACUCGCUGUGAAGAUGCAGUGUACCCGCGGCAAGACGGAAAGACCCCGUGAACCUUUACUAUAGCUUGACACUGAACAUUGAGCCUUGAUGUGUAGGAUAGGUGGGAGGCUUUGAAGUGUGGACGCCAGUCUGCAUGGAGCCGACCUUGAAAUACCACCCUUUAAUGUUUGAUGUUCUAACGUUGACCCGUGAUCCGGGUUGCGGACAGUGUCUGGUGGGUAGUUUGACUGGGGCGGUCUCCUCCUAAAGAGUAACGGAGGAGCACGAAGGUUGGCUAAUCCUGGUCGGACAUCAGGAGGUUAGUGCAAUGGCAUAAGCCAGCUUGACUGCGAGCGUGACGGCGCGAGCAGGUGCGAAAGCAGGUCAUAGUGAUCCGGUGGUUCUGAAUGGAAGGGCCAUCGCUCAACGGAUAAAAGGUACUCCGGGGAUAACAGGCUGAUACCGCCCAAGAGUUCAUAUCGACGGCGGUGUUUGGCACCUCGAUGUCGGCUCAUCACAUCCUGGGGCUGAAGUAGGUCCCAAGGGUAUGGCUGUUCGCCAUUUAAAGUGGUACGCGAGCUGGGUUUAGAACGUCGUGAGACAGUUCGGUCCCUAUCUGCCGUGGGCGCUGGAGAACUGAGGGGGGCUGCUCCUAGUACGAGAGGACCGGAGUGGACGCAUCACUGGUGUUCGGGUUGUCAUGCCAAUGGCACUGCCCGGUAGCUAAAUGCGGAAGAGAUAAGUGCUGAAAGCAUCUAAGCACGAAACUUGCCCCGAGAUGAGUUCUCCCUGACUCCUUGAGAGUCCUGAAGGAACGUUGAAGACGACGACGUUGAUAGGCCGGGUGUGUAAGCGCAGCGAUGCGUUGAGCUAACCGGUACUAAUGAACCGUGAGGCUUAACCUU
RNAcentral lists this ribosomal RNA (2903 nucleotides) under Escherichia coli. RNAcentral describes it as "23S ribosomal RNA". It matches the Rfam family "Bacterial large subunit ribosomal RNA". The record is from RNAcentral. Lineage: Bacteria; Pseudomonadati; Pseudomonadota; Gammaproteobacteria; Enterobacterales; Enterobacteriaceae.